CGCUGGCGGCGUGCCUUAUGCAUGCAAGUCGAACGGGAAUGAAGACUUCGGUUUUCAUUUUAGUGGCAAACGGGUGAGUAACGCGUAAGCAACCUGUCCUCAAGUGGGGGAUAACUCCGAGAAAUCGGGGCUAAUACCGCAUGAUGCGCCGAGGGUAAUGCCUUGGUGCCAAAGCCGCAAGGCGCUGGGGGAGGGGCUUGCGUCCUAUCAGGUAGUUGGUGGGGUAACGGCCUACCAAGCCGAUGACGGGUAGCUGGUCUGAGAGGAUGUCCAGCCACACUGGGACUGAGAUACGGCCCAGACUCCUACGGGAGGCAGCAGCAAGGAAUUUUGCGCAAUGGGCGAAAGCCUGACGCAGCAACGCCGCGUGGGUGAUGAAGGCUCUCGGGUCGUAAAGCCCUUUUGUUGGGGAAGAAGUUCUGACGGUACCCAACGAAUAAGCCUCGGCUAACUACGUGCCAGCAGCCGCGGUAAUACG
RNAcentral lists this ribosomal RNA (478 nucleotides) under uncultured Chloroflexota bacterium. RNAcentral describes it as "bacterial SSU rRNA". It matches the Rfam family "Bacterial small subunit ribosomal RNA", at positions 34 to 527 of the family's 1533-position model. Lineage: Bacteria; Bacillati; Chloroflexota. The record is from RNAcentral.